RNAcentral lists this ribosomal RNA (253 nucleotides) under uncultured bacterium. RNAcentral's name for it is "partial 16S ribosomal RNA". It matches the Rfam family "Bacterial small subunit ribosomal RNA", at positions 524 to 776 of the family's 1533-position model. The record is from RNAcentral.
UACGGAAGGUGCAAGCGUUGCUCGGAAUCAUUGGGCGUAAAGGGCGCGUAGGCGGCCGCGCAAGUCUGGCGUGAAAGCCCCGGGCUCAGCCCGAGAAGGGCGCUCGAAACGGCGCGGCUCGAGUGCCGGAGGGGAGAGUGGAAUUCCUGGUGUAGCGGUGAAAUGCGUAGAUAUCAGGAGGAAUACCGGUGGCGAAAGCGACUCUCUGGACGGCAACUGACGCUGAGGCACGAAAGCGUGGGGAGCAAACAGG